CCUACGGGGGGCAGCAGUGAGGAAUAUUGGUCAAUGGGCGCGAGCCUGAACCAGCCAAGUAGCGUGAAGGAUGACUGCCCUACGGGUUGUAAACUUCUUUUAUAAAGGAAUAAAGUGCAGUAUGUAUACUGCUUUGCAUGUACCUUAUGAAUAAGGAUCGGCUAACUCCGUGCCAGCAGCCGCGGUAAUACGGAGGAUCCGAGCGUUAUCCGGAUUUAUUGGGUUUAAAGGGAGCGUAGGCGGGUUGUUAAGUCAGUUGUGAAAGUUUGCGGCUCAACCGUAAGAUUGCAGUUGAAACUGGCAGCCUUGAGUACAGUAGAGGUAGGCGGAAUUCGUGGUGUAGCGGUGAAAUGCUUAGAUAUCACGAAGAACUCCGAUUGCGAAGGCAGUUCACUGGACUGCAACUGACACUGAGGCUCGAAAGUGUGGGUAUCAAACAGGAUUAGAUACCCCAGUAGUC
This 460-nucleotide ribosomal RNA is filed under the name uncultured bacterium. RNAcentral describes it as "partial 16S ribosomal RNA". It matches the Rfam family "Bacterial small subunit ribosomal RNA", at positions 338 to 795 of the family's 1533-position model. The record is from RNAcentral.